This 487-nucleotide ribosomal RNA is filed under the name uncultured bacterium. RNAcentral's name for it is "bacterial SSU rRNA". It matches the Rfam family "Bacterial small subunit ribosomal RNA", at positions 26 to 507 of the family's 1533-position model. The record is from RNAcentral.
AGGACGAACGCUGGCGGCAUGCCUUACACAUGCAAGUCGAACGGCAGCACGGGGGGCAACCCUGGUGGCGAGUGGCGAACGGGUGAGUAAUACAUCGGAACGUGCCCUGAAGUGGGGGAUAACGUAGCGAAAGUUACGCUAAUACCGCAUAUUCUGUGAGCAGGAAAGCAGGGGAUCGCAAGACCUUGUGCUUUAGGAGCGGCCGAUGUCGGAUUAGCUAGUUGGUGAGGUAAAGGCUCACCAAGGCGACGAUCCGUAGCGGGUCUGAGAGGAUGAUCCGCCGCACUGGGACUGAGACACGGCCCAGACUCCUACGGGAGGCAGCAGUGGGGAAUUUUGGACAAUGGGCGAAAGCCUGAUCCAGCCAUGCCGCGUGAGUGAAGAAGGCCUUCGGGUUGUAAAGCUCUUUCGGUGGGGAAGAAAUUGCAUGGGCUAAUACCCUGUGUAGAUGACGGUACCUGGAGAAGAAGCACCGGCUAACUACGUG